This 462-nucleotide ribosomal RNA is filed under the name uncultured bacterium. Its description in RNAcentral is "bacterial SSU rRNA". It matches the Rfam family "Bacterial small subunit ribosomal RNA", at positions 355 to 825 of the family's 1533-position model. The record is from RNAcentral.
UCGAGAAUCUUCCGCAAUGGACGAAAGUCUGACGGAGCGACGCCGCGUGGGGGAUGAAGGUCUUCGGAUUGUAAACCCCUUUCGGCAGGGAAGAUGGAACGGGUAACCGUUCGGACGGUACCUGCAGAAGCAGCCACGGCUAACUUCGUGCCAGCAGCCGCGGUAAUACGAAGGUGGCAAGCGUUGUUCGGAUUUACUGGGCGUACAGGGAGCGUAGGCGGUUGGGUAAGCCCUCCGUGAAAUCUCCGGGCCUAACCCGGAAAGUGCGGAGGGGACUGCUCGGCUAGAGGAUGGGAGAGGAGCGCGGAAUUCCCGGUGUAGCGGUGAAAUGCGUAGAGAUCGGGAGGAAGGCCGGUGGCGAAGGCGGCGCUCUGGAACAUUUCUGACGCUGAGGCUCGAAAGCGUGGGGAGCAAACAGGAUUAGAUACCCGCGUAGUCCCUGAGCGGGCUGGCAAGGCGCAU